This 203-nucleotide unclassified non-coding RNA is filed under the name Hevea brasiliensis (rubber tree). Lineage: Eukaryota; Viridiplantae; Streptophyta; Magnoliopsida; Malpighiales; Euphorbiaceae. The record is from RNAcentral.
GUUCAUGGCAGCUAGAAUGAAGGAUUCAAGGAAAAUACAAGCCGAUUGGAGAGCUGGUAUGGUAUGGUAUGAUCAUUACAUGUAAUUGGUAUUUAGUAUAGUUUUUUGGUUACUUGUUCUUGUAUAUAAAGGGAUUUUUUUUCCUUCUUUUUUUCUUUUUUUCCCUGUAAAGAAAGUAGAUGAAAAUGAAAAGAGAGUUUUGA